AUCGAGUUAGGGUCUUCUAGGCCCGACCUCCAACCCUUUGUCUACCUUACCACUUGUUGCUUCGGCGAGCCCGUCCCUUGAAAUAUAGGGACCGCCGGGGGUUUUAUACCCCUAGUCCGUGCUCGUCGAUAGCCUUUAUGAAACUCUUGUUUAACUAUGUCGUCUAAGUAAAAAGCACUUAAUUAAUUAAAACUUUCAACAACGGAUCUCUUGGUUCUGGCAUCGAUGAAGAACGCAGCGAAAUGCGAUAAGUAAUGCGAAUUGCAGAAUCCGUGAGUCAUCGAAUCUUUGAACGCAUAUUGCGCCCUUUGGUAUUCCGAAGGGCAUGCCUGUUCGAGCGUCAUUAUCACCUCUCAAGCCUGGCUUGCUGUUGGACUUUAGGUCUUGCUUAGGCAUGACCGGUCCCAAAGAUAAUGACGGCGUCUGUGAGGACCCCAGUACACUGAGCUUUAAUAGCACGUAUUAGGCGGAACUCCAGGCCCGGUCUCACCCAAUUUUUAUUAAGGUUGACCUCGGAUCAGGUAGGAAUACCCGCUGAACUUAAGCAUAUCAAUAAGCGGAGGAAAAGAAACCAACAGGGAUUGCCUCAGUAACGGCGAGUGAAGCGGCAACAGCUCAAAUUUGAAAUCUGGCUCUAGGGUCCGAGUUGUAAUUUGUAGAGGAUGUUUUGGGUACCGCAGCAGUUUAAAUUUCUUGGAACAGAAUGUUAGAAAGGGUGAGAGUCCCGUCUGGAACUGCAGUAGGGCCUAUGUAAAACUCCUUCGACGAGUCGAGUUGUUUGGGAAUGCAGCUCAAAAUGGGUGGUAAAUUUCAUCUAAAGCUAAAUAUUGGCCAGAGACCGAUAGCGCACAAGUAGAGUGAUCGAAAGAUGAAAAGCACUUUGAAAAGAGAGUUAAACAGUAUGUGAAAUUGUUGAAAGGGAAGCGCUUGCAAUCAGACUUGAGUUUAGCGGUUCCCCCUUGCUUUUGCUUGGGCUACUCCGUUAUAUCCAGGCCAACAUCGGUUCUAGGGGUUGGUUAAAGGCUCUAGGAAUGUAUCUACCCCCGGGUAGACUUAUAGCCUAGGGUGUCAUGCAACCUCCCAGGACCGAGGUACGCGCUUCGGCGAGGAUGUUGGCGUAAUGGUUGUAAGCGACCCGUCUUGAAACACGGACCAAGGAGUCUAACAUCUAUGCGAGUGUUUGGGUGUCAAACCCGUACGCGGAAUGAAAGUAAACGGAGGUAAGAAGCCUUAAGGCUGCAUUAUCGACCGAUCCUGAAAUUUAUGGAUGGAUUUGAGUAAGAGCAUAGCUGUUGGGACCCGAAAGAUGGUGAACUAUGCCUGAAUAGGGUGAAGCCAGAGGAAACUCUGGUGGAGGCUCGCAGCGGUUCUGACGUGCAAAUCGAUCGUCAAAUUUGGGUAUAGGGGCGAAAGACUAAUCGAACCAUUAAGAAUAUAGCUACCUAGGUGGUUAAGUGUGGCCAGAUAAUGGUUGCAAGUACCUAAUAUUCAGGUGCAAUACUGUCAAAUUGCGGGGACGUCCUAAAGCUUUAGCGACCGCCUUUAACUGUGAAAACAGCUUUUGGGCACCAGAUUAAUGAUCUGGGUAAGGUAACACUGCUAAAGAUAUAAUAAUGGAUAAUCCGCAGCCAAUUCCUAAGGCCUGUAGGCUAUGGAUGCAGUUCACAGACUAAAUGGCAGUAGGCUCUUCAGAGCUUAAGUUAUAGUCGGUCCCCUGGAGAAAUCCAGGCGCAUACGCUAAAUCUAUAGUUAAGAAUUAGGUAUUCCCUACAGCUAUAGACCC
This 1783-nucleotide ribosomal RNA is filed under the name fungal sp. Its description in RNAcentral is "eukaryotic LSU rRNA". The stretch from base 508 to 1783 matches the Rfam family "Eukaryotic large subunit ribosomal RNA", at positions 1 to 1805 of the family's 3401-position model. The record is from RNAcentral. Lineage: Eukaryota; Fungi.